UGCUCAAGCUCCUGUUUGCUCAUCAGC
RNAcentral lists this non-coding RNA (27 nucleotides) under Homo sapiens (human). The record is from RNAcentral. Lineage: Eukaryota; Metazoa; Chordata; Mammalia; Primates; Hominidae.